This is a long non-coding RNA of Rhea pennata, 3562 nucleotides long. RefSeq lists it as uncharacterized. NCBI's taxonomy places the organism in Eukaryota, Metazoa, Chordata, Aves, Rheiformes, Rheidae. The record is from RefSeq and is a predicted model, not a curated record. The transcript is spliced from 3 exons.
GUCUCCGUUCAGCGGCGCGCUGCAGCUCACCGACCUGGACGACUUCAUCGGGCCCUCGCAGGUGGGCCGGGGCGGGGGGCACGCGGCGCCCGGGAGCGGCGGCCGCCCCCGUCCUGCCGCGGCUGCAGAGAAGCCCGUUCAUGCGCCCGCAGCCCGCGCUGCUCACCCGGCCGCGCUCUGGGAGCCGCCCGCCCAAAUACCGACCGGGAGGCAGGGAGGGAAGGGGACGGGCAGGGCUUUCUUGUCAGAGUCUUCAAGCACUAGCGAAGCUCCCAGUCACAAGUGCAGCCCUGGAGAGGGCUGCUGACAGCAAAUAGAGCAAUUCCCUUUUAGUUUGAGGUGAACAGACUCGCUAACUGCAGCACAGCUAGGAAGCUCAUCAUCAUCUCUGACAUCCUAACUGACAACAGCAGAACCGAGGCAGAGAUAGAUCUUACAGAGAUCGUGAAAACCCACCAACCCUGGAACAGCUCUGAACCAUACAUCUUUCUGCGUGAAGUCAAUACUCUUGCAGCACAAGUAAGAGUUUCUCCAGCUCCAGACUCUACUUUCCAUGGGAAUCAUCUUCCCUCUUGCGAGGCCUCAUUCUCAUUUGCUCUUCCUUCUGACUGCAUGAUCUGUUCAAAAUUUUUCCAAAGCAAAGGGGUACGAAACAGUAUGAUGGGAUGGUCCCAAGCAAGCAGCAUUAUCAAGUUUUUUGGAUUAAGCAGUAAGGGCAGGGGGGAAGGGACAUUUCAAGUAACCCAAGAAUGCAGAUACGCCGCCCCGCCCAGCAGUCUGUUGUCCGUUUCUGCAUGAAGAGAGCUGCACUAAUACGCAUAAUGACUGGGAUCCAAAGCUAAAUAAUUCCAUCUCACUCAAAUCACACAUCGCUUUCCAUUUCUUCUUCUUGCCAGGUAGACCUUGAGAGCAUAACAAGCACUGGAGUUCAUGACAUAAUGCUCAAAAGCGUUUUCCAGAUCUUGAAGCCACAUUUUGCCCCAGUGACGACAGCAGACUUGGAAUUCCUGUUCAAUGGGACACUGACCUUGUAUCUAGGCUCCAUCGCUAGUGAUGAAUUAAUAGCACUGCCUGCUAUUGGCGACUGCCCCCACUUACAAGAGACAUGAGUAUACAUCCAGUUCAACUUCUCUCAUCUGUGUGCAGUGUAACGGAGAAUGCCACCGCGGAGGCCUGUGGGGAAUGAUCUGACUGACAGGCUGGAGGAAGAAUUAUGAAUUCCUCAGUGAAGAUAUUUCUAGACAUCUGCACUAGAAGGGUUAUUAGCUUGGAUCUGUGAAAGCCAGAGCAAAGAACUGAUGCUGACAUUUGUACUCUCUCUGUUUGUCUUGCAGAGUGAGAGCUCUGUACUAUGCAUUUGAUAACAUGACAACAGAGACAAAGACUGACGUGCCCAGGAAUCUGCAGUCACAUGGACCCAAGCUUUUUAUAGACAGUACACAGUGUAAAUGUAAACUGCACUCCAAUUGUGUCCAAGUGCGCCACCUCCACUUAGCGCAGCUUCCCCAUUAGGGAGUGGAGAGCAGCCCUUGUCUCUAUAAUGAAGCAGCACGAGCUUCGCUUGCUGACAGAAGAGGUGUGCAGAAAGAUUUACAAAAAGAUGAAUCGUGCCCUUACUAUGAGCAUAAACUGCUUGUAGGGCUGGUUGAACCACUGUGUUGGGUUUCCUUUUCAACAUCCUUAUCUUACAAUGUUUGUGAAGAAUAAAAGUUGAAAAGUAACCAAGCAGAGGUGUCCCCAUUUCCAUGAAACUACCAGGUACUGUCACUUUGUGACAGUAUUCCAGAAACUACACUGACAUAAGCCAACCUGGCUCAAACCGAGUUGAUUCACUGCUGAGAUGCAUGCUAAUUGGAGAUAGUUUCUCUGGCUUUUCCAUUCACAGCCUGGAAUGAGCCUUAGGUUUUGUGAGUCUUAUGCUGAAAUGUGAUUUGUUAUUGUUGCAUUUUAGACUGUCAGAUGGCUAAAAACUGGAUGACGCUACUUCCAGAGAUUCAGAUCUACAGCUAACCUCACAUUUUUGUUGCUGUCUAUGAAACCUUUACUGGGCUAAGAAUAUGGACUUGGACACUUUGUGAUGUUUUACCACCCUAGAGCAAAACCAUUCCAUUUUUGUGUGGCAGCCACACAAAUCCUGCUGGGGCUUAUACUCUGAGAGUCAAAGAGUAUUACAGAAUCGUUUGAACAACAAAUACAAAAUGAAAACUUGUGGCCCUUUCUCCCUUCCUUGGAAACAAUGAGAAUUUCUCCAACUCCUUCCAGAGAGCCAGGAUCUUCCCCUCUGCUACUGCAAGUCCAGCUCUAAAGUUCUUGACUCUUCCCUUGCAUUUCAAUUCCAGUAAGCCCCAGAGGGUUGAUCCUUUUGCCAUAACAAAGCACAGAAUAGAAAGGAUGGAUGUUACAGCUAGAGCACAUGCACAAGAGUCACAGGAGGUGACCGGCCUGCAGGAGCUGACUGCUGUCCAGCGUGCCCACUUAGCCACAGAGCUGAACACGUCUGGGGACAGGGUUAACAUUGAACAAAUCUUUGACAGACUGUCCAAGCUGCCUGGUCUCAGUGCUUUGGCUGCUUACUGGGAUGAGUUGAACCCUGCUUUAGAGGAGAAUUCCUGGGAUCAACAGUCUUCUCCAAAAUCCAUACAGCUGGCAAAAUGGAUGUACAAAACUACAUUGUGGCAUUUCUCACCCAGAAGUCUGAGGUCACCACUAAUACCUAUCAAUUCAGCUAGUUCUCUAGGAGCUGUCACUCUCUGCAAUAAUUCAUUCCUGUUCAGAGUACAGAAAUAAAACACACUGGCAGAACAUGCCACUGAAGGGCUGAGCCAAAGGCCAUAAAAAGGCGGUGACUUCAAGCUCUCCUUUGACCUCAGGGUGCUGUAGCAAUCCUGAGCAGUGCUGUAUACUACAAUGCAGAAUCUACUCACCUCCUCACCUUACCUGUUCUUCAUUGCUCGGCCAGCAUUAACAACGCCCUCAGGGCUGUGCAGCAGGCGAGCCGAUGGGUCAUUUCCCUUAAACAAAAAGGUAAUACGCAGGCACAAAAGUCCAGUUAUCAAAACCAUUUUUAUUGCCUCUCCCUGGCUAAGAGCUCUUGCAGAGCUACAACAUGCAGAAAUGGCAUCCGAGCAAAACGGAUGGAAAAAGAACUUGCCAAGUCGGUAGGAUAGUCCAGCUUUGCAAGUUCUGCCCUGAGUCUUCUUCACAGAGCUAUCACCUACGCAGCCGGAUCGCACGCUUAAAAAGGUGCCUAGUGCUCGGCCUCCCUUUCCACGGAGGGAUGCUUUGCACGAGCUCUCCCCACCACCACCAGCACCCCUCGCACCCGCGCCCAAAGCCACUCGCAAGGAGCAGGAGAUGGGUCAGAUCCGCGCCAAACGACGCAACAAGCCACGGGAGCAAAGGCAGCAGUAUUUAGAGCAGUGCAGCAGAGGGGCCGCCCAGGUAAGCACUGCAGCGCUGCCCAGCUCCCAUCCGAUUUGCGCUCCCACAGCACAGGCACUUCGGAAGGCCACCCUCAACAACGAGGCUGAGCUUUGUUUGCAAAGUAUGAACAGCAGCAACA